RNAcentral lists this long non-coding RNA (3079 nucleotides) under Homo sapiens (human). RNAcentral describes it as "HSALNT0204960". Lineage: Eukaryota; Metazoa; Chordata; Mammalia; Primates; Hominidae. The record is from RNAcentral.
AAUCUUUCUCUCCUCUCUUCCAUUUGAGGACAUGACAUUUAUCCCCUCCAGAAAAUGCAACAAGGUGCAUCUUGGAAGCAGAGUGCAGCACUCACCGGACAGGAAAUCUGCUGAUGCCUUCAUCUUGGACUUCCCAGUCUCCAGAACUAUAAAGAAUGCAUUUCUUUUCUUAUAAAUUACCCAGUCUAUGAUAUUCCAUUAUAGUAGCACAAACGGACUAGGACAACACAUAAAUAACUCAAGCCAAUUUCUCACUUACAUUUGUUAAAAUAGUAAUGUACAAAUCCCGGAAACAGUCAACAACAAAAUCCCAUUUCACAACUCCCUCAUCCCUAAUACACAAUUUCUAACCUAUUCUGAAAUUGAGAAGUCUUAUACUUUGCAAAUGGCAUGGCAACUUUAUGUCCAUUUAAAAUUGUCUAAAUAUUUAGUACAUUUCUAGAGUCUAGAGCACACAGCUCAGGGCCCUGGUAACAUGCAGGCAAUCAGACUAUAAAUUUAUUUCUCUUCUUGAACAUCCUGCCCUGUUCAUCUUCAGUAAUCAAAUGGGCUUCAAUUUGUUCUUUACUAUGCUUUCACCUCUUCAUGCUCACUUCCAAGUCAACUCUACUCCUUCUCUAUUUUGCCCAAUACACUUUCUAGUUACAUAAUCAGAUGACUCUAGAAAAGCUGCCCAAGGCUGACCAUUCUCUAUGUGAAUUUUCCAACUACAUUGAAAGACCAAACUCAGUAUCCCCAACAUUGUCCUAACUUAAAGGUAUACUUGUAGUGGCACCAUAUAAACCAGGCAAACUAUUUAAAAAUGUAUCUGGAAGUAUUUGGCAUUUCCUGGUUAUAAUUUAAAGGAUGUAAUUUUGGCAUAGGAUUUCUGAAUAAUUGUUAUUAGACAGAGUUAUUUGUAUUUUCCACUACCAUUUUUAGAAAGGGAAUUUCACUUUGGAUAGCGGGUUAGUGUGUGUGUGUGUAUGUGCCCAUGUGCAGGUGAGGAGGGAACAAACUACUUGAUUCUUCCAUAAGUUAUUAAGUGACCCUUUUUUGGGCCUGAUUGUCAAAUGAAAUUUUCUGCACAAUACUUGGAAAGCAUUUGCAGGUUUCUGCGUGAGGUGAAGAAAAAAGAACAUGAAAAUAUUGUGGAUUCAUGAGCUACAAGAAGAAUCAUGAAACUUUUGAAAAGUUAUCAGCCUCAUAGCUUGAGUGUGAAUGAAUUAGUUUUCACAGAAAUCAAUGAAUGGGCUGGAUUUUACAGCCAAGACAUAAUGGAGACAAAAAAGAGCAGGCAGUGAUUUACAGAAAUUUUGAAUCCUUCUUCUGGAGUGCUAUACAUUCAUAAGAUUAUGAUUUGGAUUAAGUUUAAUCUGAUACCUAAAUGUCCAAGCGCAUAGUUUACAUUUGAUUUAUACAGUAGUACAGUAAUGUUAACAAAACUGAAUUUUUGUAACAAAUUAUAUAUACUUGAGAUAGAGAAAAAACUGUUGACUCCUUUUAUCAUUAAGUUAAAAAAAUAAUAUGGCAGCAUAUCACUUGUAUGAACUUCUGAAUGAAGACAAUAUCUUGAUGUACAAAUUCUGUUUUUCAACCAAAGGAUCAUACUUAAGCAUAUUUAAAUAUGAUGCUCAGUAAAAAGAUCUUACAACAUUAUAAUUUGUAAUGUUUGAAAUGGACAUGAAAGUAGAAUGCAACAUUUGUAUCUACAUGAGUAACUAUCAUUUAUCUAUCUAAAAUUUAUUAAACAUUUGCGAAUGAGAGCAUGACAUUGGAGUCACACUGCUUUGGGUUUGAAAUCUGGAUCCCAUAUGUGUCAGGUAAAAACCUUGAAAAAGUUACUUAACCUGUCUGUUUAUCAGUUUCUUUAUAAGACACAGAUCAUAAUAAUAUGUACAUCAGAGGAUCAUGGUGAUUAUAAAAUAAAUUAACAUAAAUGAGUUAAUAAGGCCUAGGAUUUUAGAAGUGUAGUAUAAACAAAGUACCUAGUAUGCUACUUACAGUGAUUAUCAUUAUCUCUUAUAACUUUAAGUUAAAUUGGCCUUCUUGGUAAAUUUCAAACACAAUUAUAUCUGGGUCCACAUCAGGAAAUUUGAACAUACAGUUCAUCUGUUUGGAGCUCACUUCCCUCAUUUGUUUUCAUAGCUUCCUACCUCAGUGCAUUCAGGUUUCUUUUUCAAAACAUAUAAACAGAGAUGCCUUGUUAAACUACCCAAUCUAAAAUUGUCUUUUUUUAUUUAUUAUUUUUCUUCAUCUAUGUCACCAUUUGCUAUUGUUACUAAAUUUAUUUCUAGUUUACCGCCCACUAACAUAGAAGUUCCAUGAAAAGAGAGACGUGCCUAGUUGCCCCCAUUAUCUCAGUGUAAACAUUUUUUUUCCCUGAAACUGAAACAAUAAUCUUCCUUUUGUGGAGAUGCUGUUAAAGGGUACAUAGGGUAAUUCAUACUAAUAGGUUCUCUCAUUCUUGCAAACUGUUGUGGAAUAAUCAAUUUAAGGGCAACAACUGAGCUCUUCAUAAAUUGAGGAAAAUUGCCAUGCAUGAAGGUGUUUUUCCUAACCCCCACCUCUGAUUCUACAUAUUCUUUAAACAUAUCUCUCAAAAAUUUGGAGUUAACAUUGUAAAUAAUAUUUAUGUAUUUCUUUGGGUUUUGAAAUUUACUUAUGGAUCAUGUAGACCACUUAAAAAUAUUUUUAAAAAUCUUUAAAGCUAAAGUUGAACAUUUGUGACAACUAGGAAUAUUUGGAUACUUUGUGUUUCUCUCCCUCUUUUUAUGUCUCUCUAUCUCUCUCUGAUAAAAGUAUGUUUGUGGAUAAUUUAUUUUAAAACUAGACUUUUGGUUAUGCCAGAUUAAUAGUUCCAGAGAUCUCUUAUAAAGCACAUUUCUUGUAGUUAACAAUAUGGUGUUGUGCACUUCAAAAUUUGUUAAAUAAUAGAUUUCAUGUUAAGUAUUCUAAAAACACACACACAUACACACUCGGACACAAGGCAACUUUGGUUGAUAUUGAACACAUCCAUUACCUUGAUUGUGGUGAUGAUGGUAUUACGGGUGUUUGCAUAUGUCCAAACUCAUUAAAUUGUACACAUUGAACAUGUGAA